AAAAAAAAGAAAAAAGGGAAAGAAGAUAGCAGAGACCAUAGGGAGUGCGAGCGAGGGACUAAAGAGUGCUAAAAGGACCAAAACAAAAGAGCAGAGAGAGAGAUAGAGAGGAAAGAAAGAUGGAGAGAUCUGAGUUGGGGACCGAGUCAUCCCUGAGUUAGGUCACAUCACGCCAUCGACUUGUCUGCAUUAAUUAGUAGUGACGAUCCAGAGCGUUAGAUCUCAUUCGUGUCAACCGUCUGAUUCUUCUUUUUCUCUCUCCCUUCCUCACGCUGCAUCUAAGAAUUUGAAGCGAACAAUCUGAAGGAAAAGAAGCUGCAACUAAGAAACCGAACGAUAAGGUCGGGUUUCGGUGGGUUGUUUUGUUGUACGACUCGGUGCUUUUUCAGAUUUGACCUUUGUGGAAGCUUGAAUGGAGCUCAAGUUCACUUGAUUAAAGUCGAUUUAGUGUUUGGAAGCUGAGAAAAUUGGAAGAAGUUUGAGUAAUGUUGAGGGAAAUAAAUAAUAAUUAUCUUAUGUAGCAGUUUAUAGUUGAAAUUUUGAUGAUAAUUGUUCUCUUUCAUUUGGAUCUUGUUUGGAUUCUCAGAAACAUAUAAAGUUGAUUUGUGGCAGUUAGGGCUGAAUAGUAGAAGCCCUAAUCUACUGGGAGUUUUUCUACUAAUUAAAUCCCUAGAAAAUUUGUGAACUAUAUUUGCCCAAAUAUGGAACAGACUUCAUAGCUUAGAAAUUGAAAGAGAGAUAGAAAUAUAUAGAACUAAUGGAAGAUAUCUCCAAGUAUUCCCACAGUCCUGUGCACUUUGCAGUUGCACGCCGUGAUUAUGCAGCCCUCAGGUGCAUUAUCUCAACUCUUCCGUCUCUUGCCAAGGCUGGUGAAGUUAAAACGGAACAAGAGUCUCUUGCUGCUGAGGUAAGAGCUGAUGCUGUUUCUGCUGUCAUUGAUCGCCGAGAUGUUCCUGGCCGUGAGACUCCUUUGCAUCUUGCUGUUAAAUUGCGAGACCCAAUCUCUGCAGAGAUUUUGAUGGCAGCUGGGGCAGAUUGGAGCCUGCAGAAUGAAAAUGGUUGGAGUGCUCUUCAAGAAGCAGUUUGCACAAGAGAGGAGCAAAUUGCUAUGAUAAUUGCUCGGCAUUACCAACCUCUUGCUUGGGCAAAAUGGUGUCGUCGGCUUCCACGAAUUGUUGCUUCAUCAGCCCGUAUCCGUGACUUCUACAUGGAGAUAGCAUUUCAUUUUGAGAGUUCAGUUAUCCCAUUUAUUGGCCGCAUUGCCCCCUCAGAUACUUAUCGCAUUUGGAAGCGUGGUUCUAACCUCCGUGCGGAUAUGACCCUUGCUGGGUUUGAUGGUUUUCGCAUUCAAAGGUCAGAUCAAACAUUUCUCUUCUUGGGAGAGGGGUAUUCUUCAGAGGAUAGUAAUAUAUCUUUGCCACCAGCUUCUUUGAUUGUUCUUGCUCACAAGGAAAAAGAAGUUACUAAUGCUUUGGAGGGGGCUGGUGCUCAACCAACAGAAGCAGAGGUUGCCCAUGAAGUGGCUUUAAUGUCUCAAACUAAUAUGUAUAGGCCAGGAAUUGAUGUCACUCAGGCAGAGCUUGUUCCUCAUUUGAACUGGCGGCGGCAAGAGAGGACAGAGAUGGUUGGAAAUUGGAAGGCCAAAGUUUAUGAUAUGUUUCAUGUGAUGGUGAGUGUGAAGUCAAGGCGCGUUCCAGGUGCAAUGACUGAUGAGGAGCUUUUUGCUGCGGAUGAUGAAGACAGGCCGGUAAAUGGUGCUGACAAUGAUGAGUUUGAUGAUGUAUUGACAGCUGAGGAGAGGAAGCAGUUGGAUACUGCACUUCGUAUGGGGAAUUCAGAUGGUCUUUGUGAGGAUGAGGAACUUGGGGUCAUCGAGUAUCAAGAAAAUGGAUCUGGAGGUUCUUAUGAAAAUGGGGAAUCCAAUGGUGCCAUUAAAGAGAAGAAGAGUUGGUUUGGUUGGAAGAACAAAGGUUCAAAGAACAAUAAUGAUGAUCCUGAAGAUUCAAAAAUCUUGAAGAAGUUUUCGAAGUUGGCACCUGAAGGUGGGAACCAGAAAUCAGUUGAUAAUAAAAAAUCAUCGUCUGAAUUUUCUAGGGAGGAUUUGGGGGAUACCAAGAAGGGAAAGGAUAAAGGCAGCAAGAAGAAAAAGAAGAAAGGGGUCAGUAGCGAGUCUAAGCAUGAGAGUGAGUACAAGAAGGGUUUAAGACCUGUCUUGUGGCUGACACCGGAUUUUCCUUUGAAAACUGAGGAGCUCCUACCUUUACUUGAUAUAUUAGCGAACAAGGUCAAAGCUGUUAGGAGGCUUAGGGAGCUUCUGACUACUAAAUUACCUCAAGGAACAUUUCCUGUCAAGGUUGCCAUCCCAAUUGUCCCAACUAUUCGGGUGCUU
Molecule: unclassified non-coding RNA, 2389 nt
Filed under: Hevea brasiliensis (rubber tree)
Lineage: Eukaryota; Viridiplantae; Streptophyta; Magnoliopsida; Malpighiales; Euphorbiaceae
Source: RNAcentral